AACGAACGCUGGCGGCAUGCCUAACACAUGCCAGUCGAACGAGACCGUCGGUUCGAGUGGCGAACGGGUGCGUAACGCGGGGGAACCUGCCCGUAGGUUCGGAAUAACUCCCCGAAAGGGGUGCUAAUACCGGGUAAUGUCUGCGGACCAAAGAUUUAUCGCCUUUGGCUGGGCCCGCGUUGGGUUAGCUGGUUGGGAGGGUAAAAGCCUACCAAGGCGACGAUCCAUAGCUGGUCUGAGAGGAUGCUCAGCCACACUGGGACUGAGACCCGGCCCCGACUCCUACGGGAGGCAGCAGUGGGGAAUCUUGGACAAUGGGCGAAAGCCUGAUCCAGCAAUGCCGCGUGAGUGAUGAAGGCCUUAGGGUUGUAAAGCUCUUUUACCCGGGAUGAUAAUGACAGUACCGGGAGAAUAAGCUCCGGCUAACUCCGUG
RNAcentral lists this ribosomal RNA (433 nucleotides) under uncultured bacterium. Its description in RNAcentral is "partial 16S ribosomal RNA". It matches the Rfam family "Bacterial small subunit ribosomal RNA", at positions 29 to 507 of the family's 1533-position model. The record is from RNAcentral.